RNAcentral lists this unclassified non-coding RNA (2733 nucleotides) under Hevea brasiliensis (rubber tree). Lineage: Eukaryota; Viridiplantae; Streptophyta; Magnoliopsida; Malpighiales; Euphorbiaceae. The record is from RNAcentral.
UGCGGGUCGUUUUUUGGGGACGCACUGUGUUGGACUUUCUUCCUGUUUCUGUGGACUUCCUUGCUCUUCCAUCAUCCAAUUUUCCAUCUCUACAAGACUUUGAUCACGAUCACUCUAAUUCCGAGAGCUAAAACUGCGAUCUAGAACAACAAUUAGACGCUGGGAGAAUCAAGAAUGGAGAACGCUGACGUCUUCCUGGGUUUGCACGACUUCCUUGAGCGCAUGCGCCAACCAUCAGCCGCCGAUUUCGUCAAAUCCAUCAAGAGCUUCAUUGUCUCUUUUUCAAACAAUGCUCCUGAUCCAGAGAAGGACAGUUCUAUGGUACAGGAGUUCCUUGCCAAGAUGGAAGCGGCUUUCAGGGCUCAUCCACUCUGGGCUGGUUGCUCAGAUGAGGAGCUGGAGAGUGCUGGUGAAGGACUCGAGAAGUAUGUAAUGACAAAGUUAUUUACCCGUGUAUUUGCUUCACUUCCAGAUGAUGUUAAAGUUGAUGAGAAACUUUCUCAUAAGAUGUCUUUGAUUCAACAAUUCAUAAGGCCUGAAAAUUUGGACAUUAAGCCAACCUUUCAAAAUGAAACAUCAUGGCUGCUUGCCCAGAAAGAACUGCAAAAGAUCAAUAUGUACAAAGCACCGAGAGACAAACUUGUGUGCAUUCUCAAUUGUUGCAAGGUCAUAAAUAACUUACUGCUUAAUGCUUCAAUUGCUUCCAAUGAGAAUCCUCCUGGGGCUGAUGAAUUUCUUCCUGUACUAAUAUAUGUUACUAUAAAGGCAAACCCUCCGCAGCUGCACUCAAAUUUAUUGUAUAUACAACGGUACAGGUGUCAAUCCCGGCUAGUUGCAGAAGCAGCCUACUUUUUCACAAAUAUGCUCUCCGCAGAGUCUUUCAUCUCAAACAUUAAUGCAGAAUCCCUUUCAAUAGAGGAAACUGAAUUUGAAAGGAACAUGGAAUUUGCUCGAGCUCUUCUAUCUGGGCUUUCAACUGAUUUGGAUAGUCUGUCUAAUCAAAGUGAUCAAAAUGUAGGAAAUAAUCUUAAUACAGAAGUUUUGGAAUCCAAACUUCAAGCUUUAAAUUCUAAUAAGGAAAGGGACUCCUCGAUUAGAUCCAAAUCUUCUGAAACAAGAUCUGGCAGCAAGGACAUACAAUAUGUGAAAGAUGAGCCAUCUGUGGCAAAGGUUCCGUCCCUCUCAGAUAUAGAGGAUAAAGGAGCAUUGAUGCUUUUGAAAGAGGAUCUGGCAAGUGUAGUCUUUCGAGAAUACCCAUAUUUGUUUGCUCAUACUGGUGAUCUGACAAUCAAUGAUGUAGAAGACCUACUGAAUAAUUACAAACAGCUGGUUUUCAAGUAUGUUUGUCUUUCCAAAGGGCUGGGUGGUGCUACCCCAUCUCUUCUUCUGUCCAAUUCUCAAGUUUAUCACCACCAUGAAGCUGAAACUGUCAAAGAAAAUCAGGACACCAGAACAGUAGAGCCAGAUGAUGAAUCACAAAAACAUACUACUAUGAUGAAUAGUUCACGUACUGUUUCUCUCGUCAGUGAAGAAAAUAUCAAAUCAAAGUCCCCACUUGAUGAGGCAAUGGCACCUCAAGAGGAGGGAAAGGAGGAGACUUCUUAAUGAUAGCUCAAUGAGGCUGGGUCAUGUAGGAGUAAUGAAAAUUUCAAUACUCCAGCUGCAAUUAGAGCUGCUUGUUUUUCUUUAUGCUGAAAGAACUAUUUUGACUUUGGGUUUCAAGUGCAGGGAGAACAAUGAGGGACCAAUUGGAUAUCUAUUGUUUCAUUUUGCAACACAUACAAAUGUUGUUUCCAUGAAGGUAUACGUACAACUGACCUCUCUUCAGCACCUGAUCCCAGAAUACAUCUUUUUUUUCCCCAGUUGCAUGUAGCAUAAUUGAUCAUAUGUUAGCAGAAUGCACAUGAAAAUGGAUGAUUAGAUUCUCGACAGACUACUUGUUGCUUUACCCAUCAAGAGGUACAUACUUGCAGUUCUUUCCCCUGUUUUUUGUUCUCUAGUAAUCCAUGCUGUAAAUUAUUGCAGUACUGCUAACUGAGCUCUUGAUUGUGUUGCUUCUUUAUUUAUUUAUUUUUAUUUUGUAUAUAGUGUCGGGAGUGAUUAGAUUCUAACUGUUGUAGUCUUUUCUUUGGAAUUUUCUAGCUGUUAUCAAGCAUGGCCGAGUGCUUUUACACAACAUUUUUUCCUUACCUAGUUAACUACUUUAAAUAAGCUUUUUGUUAGUUUUCACGCAUGAAUGCCCUGCUUAUAGAAGUUCUAAAAACUGACCAACAUGCAUAAAGUGGAAGGCCUAUUAUUAUCAUUAUUAAAAUAAAAACUUGUAAUUUUUUUUUUCAUUAUAUUCACUUAGAGCCGACAGAUGUAUUCUAGAAAUGAAAAGUACACCAUACACUAUUGGGGUGUGUAUGAUGAAAUUCUGACGUGGUAUAAUCAAUUAUUUGUUGAUUUGUCAAGCUUGACAUUUGAAGCUGACAGUCCAAACUAAAACUCACAUUUGAAGGCCGCCUUAGGAUUUCAGAAAAUGUGAGCUAUAGGACACUAAAAUGUGGUUUCAUUUCAAAGAAUCACAUCAGCAGCAAACGUGACAUCUCUUCAUCCUGCAUUAUUUAUUGAUUACAUUACUAUCUGGAACAGAAGCUAUGUUUAUUUCAUUAUAUUGUUACAAGUAGGUAGCUUAAAAGGACCUGUUUGGCAUUUCUGUUGUAAUUGUUAUUGAAAAAAUUAUUAUUUUUU